UAUCUAAAAAAAACAGCUAGACAAAUAGUUAUGUCCAAAUUGUAAUUAAUCACUUAAACGUAAACACACAGGGGCAGACUACAAUGAUGAGACACUAGAUGCCUGAAUUACAGGCUACGACUCGGCCCCUGGUCAAGUAAAAAGACCUCCAUACUGGAGCGUGAAAAAGGCCAGAUGUGUUGCUAACUUGUGGGAGAGGGUAUGCUUGUAUAUUUCUACAGAAUGCAGAUUCUUCGAUUUGGAUCUCAGACAAAUUCGUCAUGUCACGUUCCCCAAAGACCAGGUUCGCGGCGCGCACUCGCUCGCUCCCCCUCCCCCAGCCAGCUCUCGCCUCCGCGCCGCCAGCAGCGCCCGGUACCCUUCUCGCUGCACCCCGCGACCUAGAGCAAAGAAGUCUGUGCGGCGAGUGAGGGCCAGAGAGGAAAGCGCGCCCGCGGAAUGCAGUCCAGACCAGCGCGCUCCCGCAGGCGAGAGGGGAACGCUGGGAGCCCAAGCCGCGGCGGCUAGCCCAAGGCCGCGAGCCCCGCCCCUCCGCCCGCCGUAAGCGCCGAGGCCCACAGCCUGCCGCUCGCGUUCUGCCUCCUGAUGCUGGGGACACUGCUCCCCCGGGCCGACGCCUGCAGCUGCUUCCUGGCUCAUCUUGUUUAAACCCUCAAUAUAAUGUUUGCUCCUUUGUGGUAGUGGUGUUGUGAACAAUGAUUCUUCGGCAGAGCAUUCAGAGGCUCGCGACUGAGCUACAUCUGGCUGUUUUAAGAAAUAAAAAAGGGGGAGAUGCCGGGAGCCGGCGAG
Molecule: long non-coding RNA, 789 nt
Organism: Bubalus bubalis (water buffalo)
Lineage: Eukaryota; Metazoa; Chordata; Mammalia; Artiodactyla; Bovidae
Exons: 2
Source: RefSeq, a predicted model, not a curated record